This 207-nucleotide ribosomal RNA is filed under the name uncultured bacterium. RNAcentral describes it as "partial 16S ribosomal RNA". It matches the Rfam family "Bacterial small subunit ribosomal RNA", at positions 568 to 774 of the family's 1533-position model. The record is from RNAcentral.
CACGUAGGCGGACUGGUCAGUUGGGGGUGAAAUCCCAGGGCUCAACCCUGGAACUGCCUCCAAUACUGCCAGUCUUGAGUCCGAGAGAGGUGAGUGGAAUUCCUAGUGUAGAGGUGAAACUCGUAGAUAUUAGGAAGAACACCAGUGGCGAAGGCGGCUCACUGGCUCGGUACUGACGCUGAGGUGCGAAAGCGUGGGGAGCAAACA